RNAcentral lists this long non-coding RNA (391 nucleotides) under Triticum aestivum (bread wheat). RNAcentral's name for it is "long non-coding RNA (TAES_LNC015318)". Lineage: Eukaryota; Viridiplantae; Streptophyta; Magnoliopsida; Poales; Poaceae. The record is from RNAcentral.
GCAGACAUAUUGAUGAUUUGUCAGUCAAAUAGCCUUGCAGAAUGGACAACAAAAGAUAGCAAACAUUAUGUCGUGUCUAGAUAUGACUGGAAAACAUGCUAGGUGUAUGUGUAUACUGCUACUACACCAACCGAAGUACGAAUUACAAUUCCUCCUUAAUUCGGACACUAACAAACUAGCUUUUGAAAUUGACUCGGCUCAUUCAAUAGGUUGGCAACAAGAUCGGAUGUUAAAUAACCAAAGGAGCAACACCCAACCCACAGGAAACUAUGAGCAUGUGUAUCAUCAAGUUUGUCGGUUCUUCAUUUUUCUCCUUAGCCAACUACAUGGAAGGGAAGUAUGUUUGAUUUGUUUCGAAUUGAUUGCAAGAAAUACAUGUAUGCCACCUACA